This is an RNA transcript of Glycine soja, 2445 nucleotides long. It is a transcript of the gene named bifunctional dihydrofolate reductase-thymidylate synthase-like, with no coding region annotated. The record is from RefSeq and is a predicted model, not a curated record. The transcript is spliced from 12 exons. NCBI's taxonomy places the organism in Eukaryota, Viridiplantae, Streptophyta, Magnoliopsida, Fabales, Fabaceae.
UUUUCCCGUUUCUCUGCGAAAAAAAAAUCCAUAGCGGUUUUUCUCACUCUCAGCAGCUACUUUAUUCCUCACUUUUUUCUUUCAUUUUCUUAUGACCUCUUCUCCUUCUUAUUAUAAUUAUAAUAUAAAUAUAAACAUUCUUUCUGUUUGUACUUUGAUAAUGAUCCUGAGUUGAAAAAGUUCGUGGAACUUUGCACCUUGUUAGGUCAUAUUCCUUUCAAAAUUACGCGCUUCGGCUUGACAUCGAUUCCUUUGCACUUCCAAAAGAAUUGGUUGUGCAGUCCUUGUUUUCAGACACCAUCUUUAAGUUUCUGUCGACGUUUGAGUUCUAUAAUGGCUGGUGAUUCUUCUGUAAUGUCCAAUGGAUACAGCAAGGGCAGUGUCAAUCCACUAACUAACCUGCGAAGGACUUACCAAGUGUUAGUGGCUGCCACUCAAGAUUGGGGCAUCGGUAAGGAUGGGAAAUUACCCUGGAGAUUGCCCACUGAUCUCAAGUUUUUUAAGGACAUUACUGUGAAAACAUCCGAUCCUGGGAAGAAGAAUGCCAUUGUAAUGGGAAGGAAAACAUGGGAGAGUAUCCCUCUUGAGUACAGGCCUCUUUCUGGUCGCCUUAAUGUUGUUCUUACUCGCUCAGGCAGCUUUGAUAUUGCAACAGCAGAGAAUGUUGUUAUAUGUGGAAGCAUGUCGUCUGCAUUGGAACUGUUAGCUGCUUCUCCUUACUCUCUGUCAAUUGAGAAAGUAUUUGUUAUAGGAGGUGGUCAGAUAUUUAGAGAGGCUCUCAAUGCGCCUGGAUGUGAAGCUAUCCACUUAACAGAAAUUCAGUCAAGUAUUGAGUGUGACACUUUUAUGCCUCCAGUUGAUUUCACUAUGUUUCGGCCAUGGUACUCAUCCUUUCCUAAAGUGGAAAACAACAUCCGCUAUUGUUUCACCACUUAUGUGCGUGUGCGGAGUUCUGCUCCAGAGUCCCCGGGUCAGAACAUUGAUCAACUUCUUGAUAAUAAUUCUGAGUCCAUGAAAUUUGAGGUCAAGGAAUUUUCUUUUCUUCCUAAAAUGAUUUCUGAGAGACAUGAGGAGUAUCUAUAUCUUAAGCUGGUUCAAGACAUCAUUGCUGAAGGUACAACUAAGGAUGAUAGGACAGGGACUGGUACCUUGUCAAAAUUUGGUUGCCAGAUGAGGUUCAAUCUGCACGGAAGCUUUCCUCUUCUAACAACUAAGAGAGUAUUUUGGCGAGGGGUUGUUGAAGAGCUUCUUUGGUUUAUCAGUGGGUCAACGAAUGCCAAGGUGCUACAGGAAAAAGGCAUUCAUAUUUGGGAUGGCAAUGCAUCCAGAGAAUACCUUGAUGGUGUUGGUUUGACAGAGAGGGAGGAGGGCGACUUGGGACCUGUUUAUGGGUUUCAAUGGAGGCACUUUGGUGCCAGAUAUACUGACAUGCAUCAUGACUACUCCGGUCAAGGGUUUGAUCAGCUUUUAGAUGUUAUUAACAAGAUAAAGCAUAAUCCUGAUGAUCGGCGAAUUAUUCUCUCUGCAUGGAAUCCAUCUGAUCUUAAAUUAAUGGCACUUCCACCCUGCCACAUGUUUGCACAGUUUUAUGUAGCACACGGGGAGUUAUCAUGUCAAAUGUAUCAGCGAUCUGCUGACAUGGGCCUGGGCGUUCCAUUUAAUAUUGCAUCUUAUGCCCUUUUGACAUGCAUGAUUGCUCAUGUUUGUGAUCUCAUUCCAGGUGAUUUUAUCCAUGUUAUUGGGGAUGCACAUGUUUACUGCAAUCAUGUGAGGCCUUUGCAGGAGCAGCUCCAUAACCAGCCAAAACCUUUUCCAACUUUGGAGAUAAAUCCAAAAAAGAAAGAUAUAGAUUCUUUUGUGGCUGCUGAUUUCAAGCUCAUAGGCUAUGAUCCUCACCAGAAGAUUGAUAUGAAGCUGGCUGUCUAAAAUCUGGGGAUUCUCACUCCUUCGGGCUGUUUCUGCUUUUUGAAAUGAGGCAAGUAUGUGGUUCUGUUUUUUAUUUAGAACUCCGCUGGAUACCAUUACCAUUAUUAUUUAUAAAAGGAGAUUAAUAGAAUGUGGUUUGGUGCUUUCUUGUGGUCUAUGAGCUGUAGAACCAUGGUGAGCAUGGAUGCUGAUGUGCUGUGCAAGAUAGCUCAUAAUUUAUUAUCAACACCUUAGGGGCUGUAUGGCAAGCUAAAUGACAGGCACAACCUUAGGAAGAUUAUGUUAAAUCUGUGUACAAUUAAAAGAACAUAUCGUAGGACUUAAUUCAUCGCAUUCAUACUGUUAGUGGGAAUUCUUUGGCUCCACCUGAUAUGCCUCUAAGGUGAUUUAGAUUGACUUUUGAGGGUUCUGAAACUCGAUGUUCAAGAUAAGCGGUCUUUUUAAGUGGGCCAUUUCUAUUUUGUUUAUUUGAUAUUUUGGACAUGCAGCUUAAGUUCCUAUUAAUAAGUUUUUAUAAUA